This 459-nucleotide ribosomal RNA is filed under the name Globigerinita uvula. RNAcentral's name for it is "bacterial SSU rRNA". It matches the Rfam family "Eukaryotic small subunit ribosomal RNA", at positions 1184 to 1467 of the family's 1831-position model. Lineage: Eukaryota; Foraminifera; Rotaliida; Globigerinitidae. The record is from RNAcentral.
AUGUGGCUUAAUUUGACUCAACGCGGGAAAUCUUACCGGGUCCGGACACACUGAGGAUUGACAGGCAAUAUAUGUGACUCUUCGGAGUUUGCAUUGUUAAAUAUGCUAGUCCUUUCAUGAUUAUGUGAUAGGUGGUGCAUGGCCGUUCUUAGUUCGUGGAGUGAUCUGUCUGCUUAAUUGCGUUUCAAAUUACUUAUAAGGUAGCAAUACGCGAUGAAGCUUUCAAUAGUCCUCACGGAUUCACUUGAGUCUCUCGCUUCGCUAUCCUUUCGAAUGCAACGAACGUGACCGCAACCUCUUGUUGCCUUCGUUUAACAUCCUGCAGCUCGCUGUGGGUACUGAGGGCUUCACUCGGUGACUUUGGGCUGAGCAAUCGGUCUCUUUUGAUCUGAGUAAACUAGAGGGACCGCUGUCAACUUCUUAAACCAGAGGAAGGUUGCGGCAAUAACAGGUCUGUGA